This 520-nucleotide ribosomal RNA is filed under the name uncultured bacterium. RNAcentral's name for it is "partial 16S ribosomal RNA". It matches the Rfam family "Bacterial small subunit ribosomal RNA", at positions 1 to 507 of the family's 1533-position model. The record is from RNAcentral.
UCCGAUCUAGAGUUUGAUCCUGGCUCAGAGUGAACGCUGGCGGUAGGCCUAACACAUGCAAGUCGAACGGCAGCACAGUAAGAGCUUGAUCUUACGGGUGGCGAGUGGCGGACGGGUGAGGAAUACAUCGGAAUCUACUUUUUCGUGGGGGAUAACGUAGGGAAACUUACGUUAAUACCGCAUACGACCUACGGGUGAAAGCAGGGGAUCUUCGGACCUUGCGCGAUUGAAUGAGCCGAUGUCGGAUUAGCUAGUUGGCGGGGUAAAGGCCCACCAAGGCGACGAUCCGUAGCUGGUCUGAGAGGAUGAUCAGCCACACUGGAACUGAGACACGGUCCAGACUCCUACGGGAGGCAGCAGUGGGGAAUAUUGGACAAUGGGCGCAAGCCUGAUCCAGCCAUACCGCGUGGGUGAAGAAGGCCUUCGGGUUGUAAAGCCCUUUUGUUGGGAAAGAAAAGCAGCAGGUUAAUACCCCGCUGUUCUGACGGUACCCAAAGAAUAAGCACCGGCUAACUUCGUG